CUCAGAUUGAACGCUGGCCGCAUGCCUUACACAUGCAAGUCUAACGCGAAAGUGGGGGCAACCCUGCGAGUAGAGUGGCGAACGGGUGAGUAAUACAUCGGAACGUACCCCGGAGUGGGGGACAACCUCGAGAAAUCGAGGCUAAUACCGCAUACGUCCUGAGGGAGAAAGCGGGGGAUCCGUAAGGACCUCGCGCUCAUGGAGCGGCCGAUGUCGGAUUAGCUAGUUGGCGGGGUAAAGGCCCACCAAGGCUACGAUCCAUAGCUGGUUUGAGAGAACGACCAGCCACACUGGGACUGAGACACGGCCCAGACUCCUACGGGAGGCAGCAGUGGGGAAUUUUGGACAAUGGGGGCAACCCUGAUCCAGCCAUGCCUCGUGAGUGAAGAAGGCCUUCGGGUUGUAAAGCUCUUUCGCCCGGAACGAAAUCGCGUACAUGAAUAAUGUGCGUGGACGAUGGUACCGGAAGAAGAAGCACUGGUCAAAUACGUGCCAGCAGCCGCGGUAAUAUGUAGGGUGCGAGCGUUAAUCGGAAUUACUGGGUGUAAAGCGUGCGCCGGCGGUUGUGCUAGUCAGAUGUGAAAUCCCCGGGCUUGACCUGGGAUCUGCGUUUGAAACUAAGGAGUUAGAGUACGGCAGAGGGGGGUGGAAUUCCACGUGUAGCAGUGAAACGGGUAGAUAUGUGGAGGAACACCGAUGGCGAAGGCAGCCCCCUGGGCCGAUACUGACGCUCAGGCACGAAAGCGUGGGGAGCAAACAGGAUUAGAUACCUUGGUAGUCCACGCCGUAAACUAUGUCAACUAGUUGUCGGGGAAGCAAUUCCUAGGUAACGAAGCUAACGCGUGAAGUUGACCGCCUGGGGAGU
This 865-nucleotide ribosomal RNA is filed under the name uncultured bacterium. RNAcentral's name for it is "bacterial SSU rRNA". It matches the Rfam family "Bacterial small subunit ribosomal RNA", at positions 23 to 881 of the family's 1533-position model. The record is from RNAcentral.